RNAcentral lists this transfer RNA (71 nucleotides) under Megophrys gigantica. Its description in RNAcentral is "tRNA-Phe". It matches the Rfam family "tRNA". Rfam says of the family: Transfer RNA (tRNA) molecules are approximately 80 nucleotides in length. Their secondary structure includes four short double-helical elements and three loops (D, anti-codon, and T loops). Further hydrogen bonds mediate the characteristic L-shaped molecular structure. tRNAs have two regions of fundamental functional importance: the anti-codon, which is responsible for specific mRNA codon recognition, and the 3' end, to which the tRNAs corresponding amino acid is attached (by aminoacyl-tRNA synthetases). tRNAs cope with the degeneracy of the genetic code in two manners: having more than one tRNA (with a specific anti-codon) for a particular amino acid; and 'wobble' base-pairing, i.e. permitting non-standard base-pairing at the 3rd anti-codon position. Lineage: Eukaryota; Metazoa; Chordata; Amphibia; Anura; Megophryidae. The record is from RNAcentral.
GUUGAUGUAGCUUACCUACCAAAGCACAGCACUGAAGAUGCUGAGACGAAUUAUAAACUAUUCCAACAACA